This 114-nucleotide non-coding RNA is filed under the name Clostridium chromiireducens. Its description in RNAcentral is "SAM-I sequence". It matches the Rfam family "SAM riboswitch aptamer (S box leader)". Rfam says of the family: The SAM riboswitch is found upstream of a number of genes which code for proteins involved in methionine or cysteine biosynthesis in Gram-positive bacteria. The SAM riboswitch acts at the level of transcription termination control. Lineage: Bacteria; Bacillati; Bacillota; Clostridia; Eubacteriales; Clostridiaceae. The record is from Rfam by way of RNAcentral.
UUUUUAUCAAGAAAGACGGAGGGACUGGCCCAAUGAUGUCUAGCAACCUGGAUUAAAUGUUAUCAUUAGUUUAAGGUGCUAAUUCCUGCAGAUUUUAUAUCUGGUAGAUAAGAA